AUAUCUCGGGACUGCGCCGUGCUCUCUGACUCUUCCUCACUCACCAAACACGCAGCGUGCUCUCGCCAUGCACCUCGCCUCUCUCAUCCUCACCCUCUUCCUAGGACAGCUCCUGGGCACCACGGGGCAGAUCACGGUCACCCAGGAUGAUGGACAAGUCAUGCUGAAGCAGGGACACCCCUUCCAGACCAUCUGCAAAUUUCAUCAGAGCAGCGGUUUAACAGGCUUGUUCUGGUACCAGCUGCGGAAAGGCCAAGCCCCACAGCUGCUCUCCUAUCAAGCAGGCUCUGGCCCCAAGCACAGCGGCCGUUCAGAAGUCAGAUGA
Molecule: non-coding RNA, 325 nt
Organism: Parus major (Great Tit)
Lineage: Eukaryota; Metazoa; Chordata; Aves; Passeriformes; Paridae
Source: the annotation of a RefSeq genome assembly